GAAAACAGGGAGAGACAAACGGCUUAACGGUCAUAUGUGGAGCAAGUAAAUUCCCAGAGACAACUAGUCCAACUAGUCUACUUUCCUCUGCUAGAUUCAAAUCAACUUACUGGAGUAAUGAAACUCUCUUUCACACUCAUCCUUAUUUUCAUCUGUUCAACACAGGUUCAAUCGGCCCAAAUCCGCGGCCAGGAGCUGUGGUGCGUGGCCAAGAACAACGCCGAGGAUGCGGCCCUUCAGUCCGCUCUCGAUUGGGCCUGUAGCUCCGGUGGUGCUGAUUGUACCGCUAUCCAACAAGGCGGCCCCUGCUAUGAUCCAGCCGAUAUUCAGCGAACGGCGUCGUUCGCUUUCAAUGAUUACUUUCUCAAGCAUGGCUUGACUGAAGAUAGCUGUAAUUUUGACAAUGCUGCUGCUCUCACUUCUCUCAACCCCAGUCGUGCUAAUUGUAAAUUCCCAUCAAGCUCAACAGGCAAAAAUGUGAACUUUACUGAUUCAUCGUCUGUGGGAACAGGUCCAACGUUUGCAGAUAUUAAUAACAGCAAUUAUCUCGGUUGCCCAAAAUUUUGGGCCUUAAUACCAUUAAUUCACAUAAUCUUUGGAUUGGUAUUCUGAAAGUGCUGACGACUGGUUGUGUUGAUAAUGUUAGCAUAUCAAGUGAAAAAGCGAAGGCAGAGAAUUUUUUGUAGAAAGUAUGCGGCAUGUAUCACUUCUUAGGCAAGGAAAAAGAAUUAUGUGUAGAAGCCUAGAAGGCUUCGCAGCUUCUGGUGUGGCUACUACAGGCGUAAGCACGACCUUCAUUGGCUCUGCCACAGUCCUACAAACCGCACAGGUUGUGUUUGUACCUAACCAUGUAUCAAUACAAGCUACAUGGAAAUUGUGUUCGCAAUUUGGUAAAAAUCUAAUCAUUUCGCCAUCCUCUAAGUUACUUAUGCAAACUGCACACUCUAUAGCGCCGUCCUUAAGGUCAUGUCUGAAAACAAUAGUCGGCAGUGAUUCAAUGAUUGCUAGAUCAAGUCCGGUCACUGGUGGUUCAUGAGGGAGGCCUAGCAGUCCGAGGGCUGUGCGACGACGGGCUUGACGAUGAAGAACACACCUUACAUAUAUGAAAACGAGUAUGACAAGUAUUACAAAGAAUGAUACUGAUACUAUAGCUAUGACUAACAUUGUGCCAUGAACAUUGUAGCUUCUUCCAGGAUCGUUGUCGUUGACAUCCAUGCCUGACCCACUACUAAUAUUUUGUGGAACUUGGAGAUUAGAUGGAGAGAACCUGUUGUUUUUGUGUGUGAAGUGGCUGAUAAGAGAAGCUGCAUGGCUAUUAAUAUAACAGAAAAAAUGAGUACUAUAUAACAAGGAAAUGAAUGGGAAACAGGUUCUAUGGUUUUCGAAAGGGUGAAAAUCAAACAGAACAAGAUUUGAUUAACUAAAAUAUACGGAUUACGUUUGUACAAUUACUGCCCUACAUCCAAAAAUGGUAUCCUAGUGGACAGUUGACACUCGACUAUUGACUUG
This is an RNA transcript of Daucus carota subsp. sativus, 1509 nucleotides long. It is a transcript of the gene named PLASMODESMATA CALLOSE-BINDING PROTEIN 5, with no coding region annotated. The record is from RefSeq and is a predicted model, not a curated record. The transcript is spliced from 4 exons. Lineage: Eukaryota; Viridiplantae; Streptophyta; Magnoliopsida; Apiales; Apiaceae.